CGGGGAGUAGCUCAGGUGGUAGAGCAUCCGGUUUGGGGCCGGAGGGUCGCAGGUUCGAGGCCUGUCUCCCCGACCA
RNAcentral lists this transfer RNA (76 nucleotides) under Acidobacteriota bacterium. RNAcentral's name for it is "Acidobacteria bacterium tRNA-Pro". It matches the Rfam family "tRNA". Rfam says of the family: Transfer RNA (tRNA) molecules are approximately 80 nucleotides in length. Their secondary structure includes four short double-helical elements and three loops (D, anti-codon, and T loops). Further hydrogen bonds mediate the characteristic L-shaped molecular structure. tRNAs have two regions of fundamental functional importance: the anti-codon, which is responsible for specific mRNA codon recognition, and the 3' end, to which the tRNAs corresponding amino acid is attached (by aminoacyl-tRNA synthetases). tRNAs cope with the degeneracy of the genetic code in two manners: having more than one tRNA (with a specific anti-codon) for a particular amino acid; and 'wobble' base-pairing, i.e. permitting non-standard base-pairing at the 3rd anti-codon position. Lineage: Bacteria; Pseudomonadati; Acidobacteriota. The record is from RNAcentral.